CUUAUAUUUCCCAGCCCCUAUUCAAGAUGGAGUUGCUCUGGUUCAAAUGCCUCUGACAGUACGAUGGAUUCCAGUAGUACUGUUCGGCUCAGAAAAUAAUGUCCCAAAAUGAAGGCCUCAGAAGCAACCUCAGGAGCAAAAGAUUUUCUGACUUUGUCCUUCUCACCUGUCUCUCAGUCCCACUCUCCCUCAAGGCUAGCCACAGAAACUAGAAUCCCUUCUCCCCAAGGUCAUAAGGCCCCCAUUGCGGAAAGGGUCUUGUCUCAUACCCAGAGGAAGGAGUGCUGCACAGAGAGGCCGGGAAGAAUCUAGACAGACACAGCCGUCCAUACUUUGUUGAACCUGAGAAUAAAAAUGGACAAUCUCCCCUGUACCUCUGGGUCUUCAGUCUGGAGGCUCCGUAUAUACACGUCAAAUACAUUUGUGUGCCUUUUCUCCAGUUAA
Molecule: non-coding RNA, 444 nt
Organism: Macaca mulatta (Rhesus monkey)
Lineage: Eukaryota; Metazoa; Chordata; Mammalia; Primates; Cercopithecidae
Source: RefSeq, a predicted model, not a curated record